This 1343-nucleotide ribosomal RNA is filed under the name uncultured bacterium. RNAcentral describes it as "16S ribosomal RNA". It matches the Rfam family "Bacterial small subunit ribosomal RNA", at positions 28 to 1378 of the family's 1533-position model. The record is from RNAcentral.
GACGAACGCUGGCGGCGUGCUUAACACAUGCAAGUCGAACGGAAAGGCCCUGCUUUUGUGGGGUGCUCGAGUGGCGAACGGGUGAGUAACACGUGAGUAACCUGCCCUUGACUUUGGGAUAACUUCAGGAAACUGGGGCUAAUACCGGAUAGGAGCUCCUGCUGCAUGGUGGGGGUUGGAAAGUUUCGGCGGUUGGGGAUGGACUCGCGGCUUAUCAGCUUGUUGGUGGGGUAGUGGCUUACCAAGGCUUUGACGGGUAGCCGGCCUGAGAGGGUGACCGGCCACAUUGGGACUGAGAUACGGCCCAGACUCCUACGGGAGGCAGCAGUGGGGAAUAUUGCACAAUGGGCGGAAGCCUGAUGCAGCAACGCCGCGUGCGGGAUGACGGCCUUCGGGUUGUAAACCGCUUUCGCCUGUGACGAAGCGUGAGUGACGGUAAUGGGUAAAGAAGCACCGGCUAACUACGUGCCAGCAGCCGCGGUGAUACGUAGGGUGCGAGCGUUGUCCGGAUUUAUUGGGCGUAAAGGGCUCGUAGGUGGUUGAUCGCGUCGGAAGUGUAAUCUUGGGGCUUAACCCUGAGCGUGCUUUCGAUACGGGUUGACUUGAGGAAGGUAGGGGAGAAUGGAAUUCCUGGUGGAGCGGUGGAAUGCGCAGAUAUCAGGAGGAACACCAGUGGCGAAGGCGGUUCUCUGGGCCUUUCCUGACGCUGAGGAGCGAAAGCGUGGGGAGCGAACAGGCUUAGAUACCCUGGUAGUCCACGCUGUAAACGGUGGGUACUAGGUGUGGGGUCCAUUCCACGGGUUCCAUGCCGUAGCUAACGCUUUAAGUACCCCGCCUGGGGAGUACGGCCGCAAGGCUAAAACUCAAAGGAAUUGGCGGGGCCCCGCACAAGCGGCGGAGCAUGCGGAUUAAUUCGAUGCAACGCGUAGAACCUUACCUGGGUUUGACAUGGAUCGGGAGUGCUCAGAGAUGGGUGUGCCUCUUUUGGGGUCGGUUCACAGGUGGUGCAUGGCUGUCGUCAGCUCGUGUCGUGAGAUGUUGGGUUAAGUCCCGCAACGAGCGCAACCCUUGUUCACUGUUGCCAGCACGUUAUGGUGGGGACUCAGUGGAGACCGCCGGGGUCAACUCGGAGGAAGGUGGGGAUGACGUCAAGUCAUCAUGCCCCUUAUGUCCAGGGCUUCACGCAUGCUACAAUGGCUGGUACAGAGAGUGGCGAGCCUGUGAGGGUGAGCGAAUCUCGGAAAGCCGGUCUCAGUUCGGAUUGGGGUCUGCAACUCGACCUCAUGAAGUCGGAGUCGCUAGUAAUCGCAGAUCAGCAACGCUGCGGUGAAUACGUUCCCGGG